Long non-coding RNA from Dendrobium catenatum, 112 nucleotides. RefSeq lists it as uncharacterized. The transcript is spliced from 2 exons. The record is from RefSeq and is a predicted model, not a curated record. NCBI's taxonomy places the organism in Eukaryota, Viridiplantae, Streptophyta, Magnoliopsida, Asparagales, Orchidaceae.
CUGAAUUAUACUCCUUUCGUAAAAGCUGAUGUAAAAUUCUGUUUCAAAUUAAGUAUGUAACUUAAGAGGUUACUUGAUUGGGUAAAAAAAGAGGUUGUGUAUUUUGUUUCAA